GACACAGUGACUUAGUUAGUAAAGCACUUGCCUAUUAUAUAAGAGUCGUGAAUUCAAAUCUCAUUUUGAGUCG
Aedes albopictus (Asian tiger mosquito) is the source of this 73-nucleotide non-coding RNA. The record is from Rfam. NCBI's taxonomy places the organism in Eukaryota, Metazoa, Arthropoda, Insecta, Diptera, Culicidae.